UGGGGAAUAUUGCACAAUGGGCGCAAGCCUGAUGCAGCAAUGCCGCGUGUGUGAAGAAGGCCUGCGGGCUGUAAAGCACUUUUAUUAGGAAAGAAAAACCCGGAGUUAAUACCUCCGGCAUUGACGGUACCUAAAGAAUAAGCACCGGCUAACUCAGUG
RNAcentral lists this ribosomal RNA (159 nucleotides) under uncultured marine bacterium. RNAcentral describes it as "partial 16S ribosomal RNA". It matches the Rfam family "Bacterial small subunit ribosomal RNA", at positions 355 to 507 of the family's 1533-position model. The record is from RNAcentral.